GAUGAACGCUGGCGGCGUGCCUAAUACAUGCAAGUCGAGCGAACGGACGAGAAGCUUGCUUCUCUGAUGUUAGCGGCGGACGGGUGAGUAACACGUGGAUAACCUACCUAUAAGACUGGGAUAACUUCGGGAAACCGGAGCUAAUACCGGAUGAUAUUUUGAACCGCAUGGUUCAAAAGUGAAAGACGGUCUUGCUGUCACUUAUAGAUGGAUCAGCGCUGCAUUAGCUAGUUGGUAAGGUAACGGCUUACCAAGGCAACGAUGCAUAGCCGACCUGAGAGGGUGAUCGGCCACACUGGAACUGAGACACGGUCCAGACUCCUACGGGAGGCAGCAGUAGGGAAUCGUCCGCAAUGGGCGAAAGCCUGACGGAGCAACGCCGCGUGAGUGAUGAAGGUCUUCGGAUCGUAAAACUCUGUUAUUAGGGAAGAACAUAUGUGUAAGUAACUGUGCACAUCUUGACGGUACCUAAUCAGAAAGCCACGGCUAACUACGUG
This 497-nucleotide ribosomal RNA is filed under the name uncultured bacterium. RNAcentral's name for it is "partial 16S ribosomal RNA". It matches the Rfam family "Bacterial small subunit ribosomal RNA", at positions 28 to 507 of the family's 1533-position model. The record is from RNAcentral.